Molecule: non-coding RNA, 1996 nt
Organism: Peromyscus maniculatus bairdii (prairie deer mouse)
Lineage: Eukaryota; Metazoa; Chordata; Mammalia; Rodentia; Cricetidae
Source: RefSeq, a predicted model, not a curated record
GGAGGGGAAGGCACAGGUAGCUUCGGGGCCCUCCUGGGUCAGCUCACACCCGGAGGCCCGGCAUCGCGCGGUGCGGGCGCUGCGCUCCGCCGCCCGCAGCCGCGCUCCACGAACUCCUGCGGUCCCCGACGCUUCCCUACGAGGCGGCAGCUACUGCUCGCGACCCCGAAGGUUCCUCCACGCCGCGCCCCCCUUCACUUCGCCAGCCUUCUUCGGCCUCUCUGGCUUGGGCGUGGGGGCUCAGAAGCUGUCCAGGCGAGAGCGGGACGCCGGGUGCCAAGCAGCUCCGGAGGGCGCGGACUGGGGCAACCGCGGGGGUGGGGUGGGGGUGACAGGGACGCCAAGCCCGGGUAGUCGAAAGUCCCGUUUUAAGGACUGGCCUGAUAGAUUACUUUCUACUUAAAGAUCCAGCGGGAGGCGGGGCCACGUGACCGCGCGUGACGUCAGGGCCGCGGUGGAGCCGGCCAAACUCAAGUUGGUUCAGGGAAUUGUCAACAAAGGGACAAGAGAAGCGCAACUCCUGACCGACAAGGCGCUAGCAUCCCGUGGGCCCCCGAGGGCUCUUCGGGCUGCCGGGAGACCCCUGCUCACGCUGGAGCCGGGCGCCGGGUCCAGGGAGGGCGUGAGUGUGGGUGGGUGGGGGUGGAGAGGGUGUGGGCCUCAGAGAGUGUCCUCCGGACCGUGGGGCUCCUACCGCCCUGCCUUCUCCGCCCCCUGCCCUUUUCUGCCUUCCCUACUUUGCUAAUAUUAUUCAGACCGACUCGCAGUGCAGAACAAGAUUGUUGUUUUUAAGAAAACUUAUGAUUUUGCUUUGGUUUGGGUUUUUGUUUGUUUUCGAUCCAAGGAUUAAGGGAACACAUCCGGCUCCCUUUUCCUAAUUAGGCCUCGUACCCCCUCCUGUCUCAGGGCUAUUCUAGAAACAAGACACCUGCUGAUGAGCUUCCCCAUCAUUUUCAAACCUAACUACUCAAGCCUUAUCCUAGCUUCCCUGGCUCCAUGCGGGCUUGCAUAUAAAUAUACAUAUAUAUUCGCAUGGUCACAACACCAUCAGCUGCGGUUUCCCGGGGUCAGAAAAUAGCUAUCGAUUAACCUAUUAGGAUAGUUGCAGAGAAAUAAAAAGAAUGUAAAAUAACAGGGAACCUAUAAACAAAGAAGCCAUAACUGGCUGUUGGAGUUGUUAAACGACUUAGCACAGAAAAAGUCGGAAAUGAGCUGGAAAUGGAGCAGGUGUUGGCAGCGGCCUGGCACAGGCAAACCCUUCAAGACUUAACCUGGGCAGAAACCUGCGUCAAAGAAGAGGCGAGGAUGUGUCCAGCGCACAAGGAGUUUCCCUGACAAGGAAUGCCAGCGAUGUUGUUCUCGGGGGUUACACCUGACCCUAAAACGCACGUCUGAGUUGAUUUCUGCUGCUGCACCACUUGUGACCCGCUGGCUCAUAAAAGCAUCUUCUACGCUGACUAGACAGUCCUCUCUGGAAACCGACAGGAGCUACGAGCUGGGCCUGGCUGCCUAUCACCCUAGGCAAGAGUUACAGUGGCAACUGCCCAAGCGACUCAAAGAAAGGUGGGGAGGAAAAGAAAACAUAAUCCAAAUUUACCAAUUCAGGAACGCCUUUCGCCCAAUUUGGAUUGCCAGGCGAUAGCCGCAGGCGCAAAGCUGUGCGCGGACCGGACUGCGGUCUUGAUAGCCGGGCCUCCAGUGGAGCGGUGCGUGCCGGUGCGCGCGCCGAGAACCCAGGCUCCAAGGCUGCUUACGGGGUCUCCUUUUGAGAUACUCUCCAAAUGAGCCUAAUUUCGAUUUCUCCGUGGGCCUGAGCUGGCUCCGGAGACUUUCUCCGCGUCGCCAUUGGCAGCCUCUCCCCCUCCGCCAAGGCCGGAUCUGGGCGGUCCAUUCCCGUGUGUCUCCUUGGAAGCUCUCUAGGGAAGGGGGUGGUGAACAACUCCCAGCUGCCGGUUCCAUUUGUUGCGCUUUUCUCCUUCGACACAAUAAAAGUCAA